AUGCUACAUUUCUCCAAAUCUGAUGAAGAAACAAACUCAUCUACAUCUUGGAUGACCAAGUCUGUGUUUGUUUUCUUGUCGGCAGGGGCCGAUCUCAUCAUCAGUGUCAGGGGUCAGAAGGACAAGGAGGAAGGAGGCGGCGAUCACGCUGAGAGGAAAGAGAGAGAACAAACGAGAAAACAUGAUAGGAAUCUGACUGGAAGAGGGCCAGUGCCUCUAUUUUUGGCAUCUUAGAAAAUGAAGAAUGUACUUCUGACAGCAGGAUUAUUUUAGCUCUAAUAUGUAUUGUAUAUUGCAGUAAACAGAAGCUCACUGUGUCACUCACAGCAUACAGUCUUACAGUGAAUCAAGACACUUCAGCAUUUUGCUCUUAAUAUAUAAUAGUUUUUUGUGGCUUGCGAGAAAUAUUCCAUGAACGCAAUCUAGAUUUUUUCAUGGUAAAUUCAUGACUCAUUUUUAAUUUUAACACAUUCAUUACUUUUUAUUUCACAUUUUAUAUAUAUAUAUAUUUAUAUAUAGAUAUGCACUACUAUUUAGGGUCGGUAAGAUUUUAAAGUGUUUUUGAAAAGUCUCUUCUGCUCACCAAGGCUGCAUCAAUUUGGUUAAAAUACAAUAAGAAUUCUUGAAAUAUUAUUGUAAUUUAAAACAACUGUUUUCUGUGUGAAUCUCUGUUAAACUGUAAUUUAUUUCUGUGAUGUGCAGCUGUAUUUUCAGCAUCAUUACUCCAGUCUUCAGUGUCACAUGAUCUUCAGAAAUCAUUCGAAUAUGAUGAUUUGCUGCUCAAGAAACAUUUCUGAUUAUUAUCAAUGAUGAAAACAGUUGUGCUGCCCAAUAUUUUUGCGGAAAUUGUCUUACAUUUGAUAUUUGAUGAAUAGAAAGCUCGAAAUAACAGAAUUUAUUACUUUUGUAACACUAUGCAUUUCUUUACUGUCAGUUUUCUUCAGUUUAAUGUGUCCUUGCUAAAUAAAAAUAUUGAUUUAUUUUAAAAAUCUUACUGA
Molecule: long non-coding RNA, 998 nt
Organism: Cyprinus carpio (common carp)
Lineage: Eukaryota; Metazoa; Chordata; Actinopteri; Cypriniformes; Cyprinidae
Source: Ensembl